RNAcentral lists this ribosomal RNA (446 nucleotides) under uncultured bacterium. Its description in RNAcentral is "partial 16S ribosomal RNA". It matches the Rfam family "Bacterial small subunit ribosomal RNA", at positions 329 to 792 of the family's 1533-position model. The record is from RNAcentral.
CGCCAGACUCCUACGGGAGGCAGCAGUGGGGAAUAUUGCACAAUGGGGGAAACCCUGAUGCAGCAACGCCGCGUGAGUGAGGAAGUAUUUCGGUAUGUAAAGCUCUAUCAGCAGGGAAUAGAAAAGAAGGUACCUGAAAAAGAAGCCCCGGCUAACUACGUGCCAGCAGCCGCGGUAAUACGUAGGGGCAAGCGUUAUCCCGAUUUACUGGGUGUAAAGGGGGCGCAGACGGCAGCGCAAGCCAGGAGUGAAAGCCCGGGGCCCAACCCCGGGACUGCUCUUGGAACUGCGCGGCUGGAGUGCAGGAGGGGCAGGCGGAAUUCCUGGUGUAGCGGUGAAAUGCGUAGAUAUCAGGAGGAACACCGGUGGCGAAGGCGGCUUACUGGACUGUAACUGACGUUGAGGCUCGAAAGCGUGGGGAGCAAACAGGAUUAGAUACCCGAGUA